CUGAAUAAUUGAUUCUGAAUGAAGUGAUGAAUGUAUUGAUUUUACAAUGAUGUGUGUUUGUGUCUUUUUUUGUGUUAGUAUACUAAUAUGCUGUCUGUGUCAAAAUAAUGCUUCAAUUUUAAACGUCGGGGGUAGUUUCCGAUAUCAUAGUGAAUAGAAUAAUAUCCUUGCUACAUUAUACAGUUUGAAAAAAAGAUCAAUUUUUUAUAUGUUUGUAACUUAAAACGAAUUACAUAAUUUUCUUAGGAGAUUACUAUACCUUUGGGGAUGCACACAGUGGUAUUUCAAGAUCUUUACCAAGUAUGUUCUCAAUAGUGUCUUCUCUACUAUCAGUACUAUCAGCUCUAAAAGGUGGCUUGAAGUUCAUGUUAACAUGUCAAACUUGAAAGCUCCAAGAGACCACCAAUCGGCAGGUUUUCCGUCAAUAUUUCUGGUGCCAUGAUAUCAUAAAUUAAUGAUAUUAAAUAAAUGUUU
Molecule: long non-coding RNA, 474 nt
Organism: Aphis gossypii (cotton aphid)
Lineage: Eukaryota; Metazoa; Arthropoda; Insecta; Hemiptera; Aphididae
Exons: 3
Source: RefSeq, a predicted model, not a curated record